UACGGAGGGUGCAAGCGUUAACGGAAUUACUGGGCGUAAAGCGCGCGUAGGUGGUUUGAUAAGCGAGAUGUGAAAGCCCCGGGUAACUGGAACGGCAUUUCGAACUGUCAGGCUAGAGUAUGGUAGAGGAGUGUGGAAUUUCCUGUGUAGCGGUGAAAUGCGUAGAUAUAGGAAGGAACACCAGUGGCGAAGGCGGCACUCUGGACCAAUACUGACACUGAGGUGCGAAAGCGUGGGGAGCAAACAGGAUUAGAACCCCGUAGUCC
This 266-nucleotide ribosomal RNA is filed under the name uncultured bacterium. Its description in RNAcentral is "partial 16S ribosomal RNA". It matches the Rfam family "Bacterial small subunit ribosomal RNA", at positions 524 to 796 of the family's 1533-position model. The record is from RNAcentral.